Molecule: ribosomal RNA, 380 nt
Filed under: uncultured eukaryote
Lineage: Eukaryota
Description: partial 18S ribosomal RNA
Rfam family: Eukaryotic small subunit ribosomal RNA
Source: RNAcentral
CAAUAGCGUAUAUUAAAGUUGUUGCGGUUAAAAAGCUCGUAGUUGGAUUUCUGCUGAGGAUGACCGGUCCGCCCUCCGGGUGAGUAUCUGGCUCAGCCUUGGCAUCUUCCUGAAGAACGUAACUGCACUUGACUGUGUGGUGCGGUAUUUAGGACAUUUACUUUGAGGAAAUUAGAGUGUUUCAAGCAAGCGCACGCCUUGAAUACAUUAGCAUGGAAUAAUAAGAUAGGACCUCGGUUCUAUUUUGUUGGUUUCUAGAGCUGAGGUAAUGAUUGAUAGGGAUAGUUGGGGGCAUUCGUAUUUAACUGACAGAGGUGAAAUUCUUGGAUUUGUUAAAGACGGACUACUGCGAAAGCAUUUGCCAAGGAUGUUUUCAUUGA